AAUGAACGUUGGCGGCGUGGAUUAGGCAUGCAAGUCGUACGAGAAUCGUAGCAAUACGAGGAAAGUGGCGGAAGGGAGAGGAUUACGUGGGAAUUUACCCUCAGAACUGGGAUAGCGGCGGGAAACUGCCGGUAAUACCAGAUAAUGUCUUCGGACCAAAGGUGUGAUUCCGUCUGGGGAUGGGCCCACGUCCUAUUAGCUAGUUGGUAGGGUAAUAGCCUACCAAGGCAAUGAUGGGUAGCGGGUGUGAGAGCAUGACCCGGCCUCACUGGGACUGAGAACUGCCCAGACACCUACGGGUGGCUGCAGUCGAGAAUCUUCGGCAAUGAGCGCAAGCUUGACCGAGCGACGCCGCGUGCGGGAUGAAGGCCUUCGGGUUGUAAACCGCUGUCGUAGGGGAGCAAGAGAUGAAGGUACUCCUUCAAAUUUGAGCGAUCCUAGGAGGAAGGACGGGCUAAGUUCGUGCCAGCCGCCGCCGUAA
This 481-nucleotide ribosomal RNA is filed under the name uncultured bacterium. RNAcentral describes it as "partial 16S ribosomal RNA". It matches the Rfam family "Bacterial small subunit ribosomal RNA", at positions 29 to 523 of the family's 1533-position model. The record is from RNAcentral.